This 300-nucleotide signal recognition particle RNA is filed under the name Cervus hanglu yarkandensis (Yarkand deer). RNAcentral's name for it is "Metazoan signal recognition particle RNA (ENSCHYG00000007629.1)". It matches the Rfam family "Metazoan signal recognition particle RNA". From Rfam's summary of the family: The signal recognition particle (SRP) is a universally conserved ribonucleoprotein. The record is from Rfam by way of RNAcentral. Lineage: Eukaryota; Metazoa; Chordata; Mammalia; Artiodactyla; Cervidae.
GCCGGGCGCGGUGGCGCGCGCCUGUAGUCCCAGCUACUCGGGAGGCUGAGGCUGGAGGAUCACUUGAGCUCAGGAGUUCUGGGCUGCAGUGCGCUAUGCCGAUCGGGUGUCCGCACUAAGUUCGGCAUCAAUAUGGUGACCUCCCGGGAGCGGGGGACCACCAGGUUGCCUAAGGAGGGGUGAACCGGCCCAGGUCGGAAACGGAGCAGGUCAAAACUCCCGUGCUGAUCAGUAGUGGGAUCGCGCCUGUGAAUAGCCACUGUACUCCAGCCUGGACAACAUAGCGAGACCCCGUCUCUU